This 675-nucleotide ribosomal RNA is filed under the name Haemophilus influenzae 7P49H1. RNAcentral's name for it is "partial 23S ribosomal RNA". It matches the Rfam family "Bacterial large subunit ribosomal RNA", at positions 2331 to 2925 of the family's 2925-position model. Lineage: Bacteria; Pseudomonadati; Pseudomonadota; Gammaproteobacteria; Pasteurellales; Pasteurellaceae. The record is from RNAcentral.
GGGAAAAAAGGGAGGAGAGGAGACACCCCGAAGGAGUGUUUUUCAUUUAUUCCCCCGGGGUGGGGGAACUUUUGGGGGGGGGUUAUUGGGAAAUGGGGUAUAUACAAAGGUUUAAUUUCCGAAAGAACCGAAAAGUUGGGACCGGGGUAAAAAAAUUUGGUUAUGUGUUUCCCGGUGUUUUAUAAGGGGCGGGCCCUCCUUUAAAAGGGAAAAAAGGAUUUCCCGGGAAAACACGGCGAUAUCCCCCCCAAGGGUUUCAUUGGAAGGGGGGUUUUGGCCACCUCGAAUUCGGCUUAUCCCUUCCUGGGGUGAAGUAGGUCCCCAAGGGUAUGGCUUUUCGCCAUUUAAAUGGUACGCAAGUGGGUUUAAAACGUUGUAAGACAUUUCGGCCCCUUCUGCCGGGGGCGUAGAAGAAUGGGUGGGGCUGUUCUUAGUACGAGAGGACCGGAGUGGACGCACCACGGGUGUUCCGGUUGUGUCGCCAGACGCAUUCCGGGGUAGCUAAGUGCGGAAGAGAUAAGUGCUGAAAGCAUCUAAGCACGAAACUUGCCAAGAGAUGAGUUCUCCCAAUCAAAGAGAUUGUAAGGGUUGUUGUAGACUACGACGUAGAUAGGUCUGGUGUGUAAGUGUAGUGAUACAUUGAGCUAACAGAUACUAAUUGCCCGAGAGGCUUAA